Molecule: long non-coding RNA, 693 nt
Organism: Perca flavescens (yellow perch)
Lineage: Eukaryota; Metazoa; Chordata; Actinopteri; Perciformes; Percidae
Exons: 2
Source: RefSeq, a predicted model, not a curated record
UUAGUAACCGGCAAACAGGAGGCACAAGUUAGGACACACCUCCACAAUGUAGACUCAAAUUACACCAAAGGGGCAUCAUAGACUACAUUAUGGAAAGGACCCCUACAGAGAAAUAUAACGUUUUUCUUUACCUUUCGCUUGAUCCGGUCUGUUUGUUAUUCCAAGUCUCGCUCACAGAGAAGUCUUCUUCUUCUGAAAUCUCGCGAGACAACGAUGGAAAUCGAGAUGCUAAGGACGAGGUUCUCGGACCCAGUCAUCAUCAUUCCCAGGGUGCUGCUGGAGGAGAGCCACCACCACCGCUGGAAAGACCCGAACCUCGGAAGAGCAGCGGAGUCGUACGCUUUGCCCUAGAUGUCAACCAGACGGAGUAGUUCUGCCUGACGAGGCCGAUAUCUUAAACCGACUGAUGCCCUGUACUGUAAAUAGCUAGUAUUUGCAACUAAGUUGGAUUAUGACAAAAGAGGUGAAAAAAUAAUGUUCCGCUAUCCAAGAGGCAGCCCACACAUUUGAAACACGCAUGUUUGACCCAUGGAAUUAUCACAAAGGUGCUAUAUCAUUUUCUGGUUUCAUGCCAUUUGUUUUCAAAAAAUAUGCCAAUAUCAUUAGAAAUACCACACCAUAAAGUGCUUAUACUACAAUUACAAAAGAAACUGUACGGUUUUAGUGUAAAUAAAUAAUCAUACUUGCAGAUUA